This is a long non-coding RNA of Leucoraja erinaceus (little skate), 710 nucleotides long. RefSeq lists it as uncharacterized. The transcript has 3 exons. The record is from RefSeq and is a predicted model, not a curated record. NCBI's taxonomy places the organism in Eukaryota, Metazoa, Chordata, Chondrichthyes, Rajiformes, Rajidae.
AUGUAAAUUCAGCAGAGUAAAUUAUCUCUCUUAUUAAAAUUUAAUUUCUCCUCAAAUGUGGGGUAAAAUAAUAACAAUUGUCCUAUUUGUGAACUAAAACUAAACUCCAUUUUUAAUUUCAUCUCUGGGCUCUUUAGGAAAGAGUUCAGCUGGAAACAAUUACAAUGAAGGCCGAUGUCCCAUCAUUAAUGAUGUUUGUUCUCUACACACAGAAAGUGUAGAGAUUGCAAAUAUAUGUUAUGGUGCUGAAUGGAAGCUGGGAGUUUAAAUGCAUUGUGCAGGAAUCUUGGUUCAGAAACAUGCUCAAUUCUGCAUUCCAGCCUCUUCAAAUUAGGAUAAGUUGGUUAGGAAGCUAACUUGCCAUUUUUACAGGCUAUCUCUUGGGAUGAAGACAUUUGGUUUCGGACCAGUUUUUGCUGCAAGCAUUGAUAUUUUGGACAAUACUUUGCAACUGUUCUCUCCAUGGACUUGUAAAGGAUGUGCAAUGGAAUCACGACUUGUCAUGAAGUGGAACAUAAAUCCUGCUCCUGCCUAACCAUGUGUUUCCAGCAUUUUCUGAAUUAAUUUCAGAUUUCCAGCAUUUCUGUUUAAAAAAUAAAUUUCAACUGGCAUAUGAGCUCUGUUUAACAAUUGUCACAGUUAUAAAUUCACAAAUUACCCCAUCACAUUAUCUAUGUAAUGGUGUACUGAGACUAUCAAUGGUCACUGUU